This 421-nucleotide ribosomal RNA is filed under the name Fusobacteriota bacterium. Its description in RNAcentral is "Fusobacteria bacterium partial 16S ribosomal RNA". It matches the Rfam family "Bacterial small subunit ribosomal RNA", at positions 355 to 776 of the family's 1533-position model. The record is from RNAcentral. Lineage: Bacteria; Fusobacteriati; Fusobacteriota.
UGGGGAAUAUUGCACAAUGGACGGAAGUUUGAUGCAGCGACGCCGCGUGGAGGGUGUAGGCCUUCGGGUUGUGAACUCCUUUUUCUCGCGAAAAAGGCACAGUUUUGGCUGUGUUGAUGGUAGUGGGGGAAGAAGCGCCGGCUAACUACGUGCCAGCAGCCGCGGUAAUACGUAGGGCGCGAGCGUUGUCCGGAUUUAUUGGGCGUAAAGAGCUCGUAGGUGGUUCGUCGCGUCUGUCGUGAAAGCCAGCAGCUUAACUGUUGGUCUGCGGUGGGUACGGGCGGGCUUGAGUGCGGUAGGGGUGACUGGAAUUCCAGGUGUAGCGGUGGAAUGCGCAGAUAUCAGGAGGAACACCGAUGGCGAAGGCAGGUCACUGGGCCGUUACUGACACUGAGGAGCGAAAGCGUGGGGAGCGAACAGG